UGGCAAAGGGGCUAGGUAACAGUUAAG
RNAcentral lists this non-coding RNA (27 nucleotides) under Homo sapiens (human). Lineage: Eukaryota; Metazoa; Chordata; Mammalia; Primates; Hominidae. The record is from RNAcentral.